RNAcentral lists this microRNA (22 nucleotides) under Homo sapiens (human). RNAcentral's name for it is "hsa-miR-4738-5p". Lineage: Eukaryota; Metazoa; Chordata; Mammalia; Primates; Hominidae. The record is from miRBase by way of RNAcentral.
ACCAGCGCGUUUUCAGUUUCAU